AUAGUACUCCCUCCGUUCGAAAAUACUUGUCAGACAAAUGCAUGUAUCUAGACGUAUUUUAGUUCAAGAUACAUUCAUUUUUAUCCAUUUCUCUGACAAGUAUUUCCGGAGAAGGGAUUACUAU
Molecule: non-coding RNA, 124 nt
Organism: Triticum aestivum (bread wheat)
Lineage: Eukaryota; Viridiplantae; Streptophyta; Magnoliopsida; Poales; Poaceae
Source: Rfam